CGGCGGACGGGUGAGUAACGCGUGGAUAACCUGCCUUAAUGACCGGGAUAACACCGGGAAACUGGUGCUAAUACGGGAUACGCUCAAGUGAACACAUGUUUGUUUGAGGAAAAGGAGCAAUCCGCAUUAAGAUGGGUCCGCGUCCCAUUAGCUAGUUGGAGGUGUAAGAGACCCCCAAGGCGACGAUGGGUAGCCGGCCUGAGAGGGUGAACGGCCACACUGGAACUGAGACACGGUCCAGACUCCUACGGGAGGCAGCAGUGGGGAAUCUUCCGCAAUGGGCGAAAAAGCCUGACGGAGCAACGCCGCGUGAAUGAUGAAGGCCUUCGGGUUGUAAAAUUCUGUCUUCAGGGGAGAAACAAAUGACGGUACCUGAGGAGGAAGCCCCGGCUAACUACGUGCCAGCCGCGGC
This 412-nucleotide ribosomal RNA is filed under the name uncultured bacterium. RNAcentral describes it as "bacterial SSU rRNA". It matches the Rfam family "Bacterial small subunit ribosomal RNA", at positions 96 to 518 of the family's 1533-position model. The record is from RNAcentral.